This 914-nucleotide long non-coding RNA is filed under the name Sorghum bicolor (sorghum). RNAcentral describes it as "long non-coding RNA (SBIC_LNC013886)". Lineage: Eukaryota; Viridiplantae; Streptophyta; Magnoliopsida; Poales; Poaceae. The record is from RNAcentral.
GCACUCGCUACACCGCUCCAACUUCUGCAGCACCAGAGAAGACUGUGACCGAAAACCAAUCCUUGAGCACAUCUUCUCUACCAUCUCCCAACACAAGUUCUUCCACGAUCCCUGCUCACGAACCUGCAGCAGAAAGCCCUCAAAGUUCAGACACUUCUAUGUCAAAAACUAGAUUGGCUAGUACUACCCUAGUGAUAGCAUUGAUGUUUUCCAUUUUUUAAAUCUGGAUACAAAGCCAGAUUCUUGUUCAAUGAAUGAGUCUUCAUUCGAGGAAAAUUAGUGCACAGGAGAUUUUAUCUUUGUUAUGAUCUAAUAACAUAAACUUUAUAGAAGUCUGAUAACUUCACCUCAUACAUUAUUAAUACCACAAUAAAACUACCAGCAACAACUUACAAAUAACAAACAUAAAGUUAAAUGAAUUGCUACCUGUAAGGCAGACAUACUAAUGAACUAUACUUGCUCAUCUAGGACAUAAUCUAGAACCAUUUUCCAAAUCAAAACAAAAUCAUAAAAGUAAAGUGCCAAGAGAACAAAAACUUACCAGAAUCAGGCGCAAGCUCAACACAAGUUUAACAAACCAUUCUGCUGGCACUUCAGAAAUAGAUGGAUGAAAAAAGAAUAGCUAAUAUCAGUAUCACUAAGCUGAAAAAUAGCAAUGUCUUUUAACCAUACUACCUACAACAGGUGGAUUGCUCAAACUUAAAAAAUCAAAUACCGCCAAGAUUCACAAUUAAACAGGGCAGAAACAAACCUGGAAACUUCGAAGUGAAAUAGAAAAUAGAUGCAAAAAAGAGGGACUUGCGUACACAAAAAAAUAUAUACAAUUUAUUGGUGGGAGAGGUUGAUUAUUCGUCUAUUUGUUAAUUAUUACUCCCUCCACCCCCAAAAAAAUGCAAUCCUAGCUUUGAACCUGG